Molecule: long non-coding RNA, 225 nt
Filed under: Manihot esculenta (cassava)
Lineage: Eukaryota; Viridiplantae; Streptophyta; Magnoliopsida; Malpighiales; Euphorbiaceae
Description: long non-coding RNA (MESC_LNC002390)
Source: RNAcentral
GGUGGAUUGAAAAGUAUCCCACAUCGGAAAGAGGUAAGGAGGGGGGGAAGCCUUAUAAGGGCAAGCCCCAAGAGACCACAGUAGACGCGUUUUGAGGGGAAGGAUGCGGGGGAAGGACGCUGGGCGUGAACCCUUAGAAACAAAACCGUGAGGGGAAGGCUGGGCCAAGGCCCUCGAACCCAAAGCGGACAAUAUCUACUGUUGUGGGCUCAGAGGAUGUUACAA